GUGCUUGCUUUGGCAGCACAUACGCUAAAAUUGGAAUGAUACAGAGAAGAUUAGCAUGGCCUCUGCACAAAGAUGACAAGCAAAUCCAUGAAGCAUUCCAUAUUUUU
RNAcentral lists this small nuclear RNA (107 nucleotides) under Phascolarctos cinereus (koala). The record is from RNAcentral. Lineage: Eukaryota; Metazoa; Chordata; Mammalia; Diprotodontia; Phascolarctidae.